CAGGUUUGAGGCCAGUGUGGGCCAGUUGAUUUUCCUUGUUCUAAUCCUCACCCAGCCUUCUUCACGACAUGACAAAGUGGAACAGAUUAGCCCUGAGCUAACAUCUGCCACAAAUCCUCCUCUUUUUGCUGAGGAAGACUGGCCUCGAGCUAACAUCUAUGCCCAUCUUCUCUACUUUAUAUGCAAGACACCUACCACAGCAAGGCUUGCCGAGCAGUGCCAUGUCCGCACCCAGCAUCCGAACCGGCGAACCCUGGGCCGGCGAAGCAGAACGUGCGAACUUAACCUCUGCACCACAGGGCCAGCCUCUCCCCUACCAUCUUUUAAUUCACUUAGUUUAACAGUCACACCACCAGAGCCAGCCCUGAUGGCCUAGUGGUUAAAGUUCAGCGCACUCCACUUCAGCAGCCCAGAGUUUGCUUCCCUGGUUCAGAACCGCACCACUCCUCUAUCAAUAACCAUGCUGUGGUAGCAGCUCACGUAGAAGAACCAGAAGAACUUACAACUAUAUACAACUAUUUACUAGAGCUUUAUGGGGG
RNAcentral lists this long non-coding RNA (539 nucleotides) under Equus caballus (horse). Its description in RNAcentral is "lncRNA (ENSECAG00000054113.1)". The record is from RNAcentral. Lineage: Eukaryota; Metazoa; Chordata; Mammalia; Perissodactyla; Equidae.